GACGAACGCUGGCGGCGUGCCUAAUACAUGCAAGUAGAACGCUGAAGAGAGGAGCUUGCUCUUCUUGGAUGAGUUGCGAACGGGUGAGUAACGCGUAGGUAACCUGCCUUGUAGCGGGGGAUAACUAUUGGAAACGAUAGCUAAUACCGCAUAACAAUGGAUGACACAUGUCAUUUAUUUGAAAGGGGCAAUUGCUCCACUACAAGAUGGACCUGCGUUGUAUUAGCUAGUAGGUGAGGUAAUGGCUCACCUAGGCGACGAUACAUAGCCGACCUGAGAGGGUGAUCGGCCACACUGGGACUGAGACACGGCCCAGACUCCUACGGGAAGCAGCAGUAGGGAAUCUUCGGCAAUGGGGGCAACCCUGACCGAGCAACGCCGCGUGAGUGAAGAAGGUUUUCGGAUCGUAAAGCUCUGUUGUAAGUCAAGAACGGGUGUGAGAGUGGAAAGUUCACACUGUGACGGUAGCUUACCAGAAAGGGACGGCUAACUACGUG
This 497-nucleotide ribosomal RNA is filed under the name uncultured bacterium. Its description in RNAcentral is "partial 16S ribosomal RNA". It matches the Rfam family "Bacterial small subunit ribosomal RNA", at positions 28 to 507 of the family's 1533-position model. The record is from RNAcentral.